RNAcentral lists this ribosomal RNA (497 nucleotides) under uncultured bacterium. RNAcentral's name for it is "partial 16S ribosomal RNA". It matches the Rfam family "Bacterial small subunit ribosomal RNA", at positions 28 to 507 of the family's 1533-position model. The record is from RNAcentral.
GACGAACGCUGGCGGCGUGCCUAAUACAUGCAAGUUGAGCGCUGAAGGUUGGUACUUGUACCAACUGGAUGAGCAGCGAACGGGUGAGUAACGCGUGGGGAAUCUGCCUUUGAGCGGGGGACAACAUUUGGAAACGAAUGCUAAUACCGCAUAAAAACUUUAAACACAAGUUUUAAGUUUGAAAGAUGCAAUUGCAUCACUCAAAGAUGAUCCCGCGUUGUAUUAGCUAGUUGGUGAGGUAAAGGCUAACCAAGGCGAUGAUACAUAGCCGACCUGAGAGGGUGAUCGGCCACAUUGGGACUGAGACACGGCCCAAACUCCUACGGGAGGCAGCAGUAGGGAAUCUUCGGCAAUGGACGAAAGUCUGACCGAGCAACGCCGCGUGAGUGAAGAAGGUUUUCGGAUCGUAAAACUCUGUUGGUAGAGAAGAACGUUGGUGAGAGUGGAAAGCUCAUCAAGUGACGGUAACUACCCAGAAAGGGACGGCUAACUACGUG